CAGCCGCCGCGGUAAUACGAAGGGGGCUAGCGUUGUUCGGAUUUACUGGGCGUAAAGGGUGCGUAGGCGGACUGAUAAGUCAGGGGUGAAAUCCCAAGGCUCAACCUUGGAACUGCCUUUGAUACUGUUAGUCUUGAGUUCGAGAGAGGUGGGUGGAACUGCGAGUGUAGAGGUGAAAUUCGUAGAUAUUCGCAAGAACACCCGUGGCGAAGGCGGCUCACUGGCUCGAAACUGACGCUGAGGCACGAAAGCGUGGGGAGCAAACAGGAUUAGAUACCCCAGUAGUCCCUGUCUCUUAUAC
RNAcentral lists this ribosomal RNA (301 nucleotides) under uncultured bacterium. Its description in RNAcentral is "partial 16S ribosomal RNA". It matches the Rfam family "Bacterial small subunit ribosomal RNA", at positions 509 to 807 of the family's 1533-position model. The record is from RNAcentral.